GCCUGGCUGGCUCCGUCGGUAGAGCCUGUGACUCUUGAUCUCAGGGUUGUGGGUUUGAGCCCCACUUUGGGUG
This 73-nucleotide transfer RNA is filed under the name Mustela putorius furo (domestic ferret). It matches the Rfam family "tRNA". Rfam says of the family: Transfer RNA (tRNA) molecules are approximately 80 nucleotides in length. Their secondary structure includes four short double-helical elements and three loops (D, anti-codon, and T loops). Lineage: Eukaryota; Metazoa; Chordata; Mammalia; Carnivora; Mustelidae. The record is from Rfam by way of RNAcentral.